CCCUCAAUGUGAACAUUUUGGCAGGUCUGUCCAAGAUUCUUCAGGAACCUCCAUCGUCAGAUGUUCUGCUGGACAGAUAACUGGAUUCGCUUAUCAAUCGACGAUAUCCGAGUAUGGGAGGACGAAGUUAAAGACGAACUAGAUAAGACAAGAACUAUUGGAGAAGUACGAGGGAUGUCUGAGCAAUGAGAUGUGGCACAACAGCCGCCAACGACGAAUGUAGAGUGCAUGGAAAUCUACGUUAACGCACGCUACUCCAUCAGCAGCCUUGUUAGUGUAAAGCUACACAACACGUUUCAGGGAAACUCGUUAUUUCAGAUCAACAAAUUCAGUUCUAGUAUGUCUUUACACGUAUCCAUUUUUGUCAGACUAUAAUUUUGGGGUGAACUUGUUUUGGAGUAUAUCAUUUGUAUCAAUCCAAUCCAAAGUGUAUCAAGUGGGGUAGGAGAGCCUCAAGUAUUUGGUUCAUGACUGGUAUUCUAGUUGAUUCUGUGAGAUGAUUUUAAUUCACAACAUUCUUUAUCUUUAGUUAUUGGUAAUUUAGUUAUUGAUUUAAGAAAAUGACAGGUUGACAGUCCUUUGAGGCAGUUGUAAUUCAGGUGAUCGCAUGACUCUAGUUAAAAAAAAGGUGAUUUAGCCUUGGUUGAUAUAAUUUUAGUUAACGAUGUGGUAUUAUUUGAAUUAAUGGAAUAAUAUACUUUAUUAUGAUACAGUAGUAGUUACAGUCGAGUCUCGUUAAUACAAACUCGUUCGGACCUAGCCAAAUUGUUUGUUAUAUCAGAAUUUUGUAUUAAGAGGAACAUCCGUCCCAUUCAUUGUGCACAUAAAUGCACAGUCGGGACCAAAGCUUUAUGUUUGUUAUAACCAGAAUUUUGUAUUAACAGAGUUUGUACUAACGAGAUUCGACUGUAUUCACAAUGAUCAUUAGGUAUUACUAAAGUUAAAAGCAUGAUUUGAUUGUAGUUAAUGAGAAACAUAUUCCUUAGUUAAUAGCUUCACAUUAGAGAUCAUGGGUGAAUUUUUGCUGGUUAAUGUCAAUAUUUGUAUUCAGUGACUUACUUAUCCCUUGCUUAUGACAAUAUUAAUUGUUAUACCUCUGUCUUGAAUACUGUAUUUUAAUUGGCCUAGAACGAUCACAUUCCCCUUGGGAUAUCACGUGUACGGUACCUAACCCUAACCUACGCUAUUUUCAUCAUGUUUUCACACAUGCGUGGGAGCAAGCGAACUAUAGCAGACGAUCAGCUGUUUUGAGCACGUGACAUGCAUGUGAGUUGCCGUUACAUUGUCAUUAUUGUUGUGUUUACUGCUGCUUGUUUUCGUGAUCUUUACAUCAAAAAUCAAGGAAUCCAAGACAGAGGUGUCACAAAACAAUUGUUGACUGCUGUGAUGAGGGAUAUGACGUUUUGAAAACCCUCGAGGCGCAUAGCACCAGAGGCGAAACGUCAUAUCCCACAUCACAGCAGUCAACAAUGGUUAACUACCGGUAUAUCACGCUAGAUGAACUAUAAUCAAGUUUUAAUUAAUUAAUUCCGGUAAAUUGCAGGAGAUGCUAUAGUUCUAGUUAUUUCUAAUAAUAUUCUUGGUACACGCAUGAGAUCAUUAUUGUUAAUUACAGUAGCUAUUGGAUAUACUAGUAGUUUUAGCUAACCACAAUGAUAUUCAGGUAAAUAGUGUGAUAUUAAUAAUAGCUAAUGGUUUUAUCUGAUAGUUGAUAAUAAUAUGUUUUGGACUUUUGGUGUACCAGUGUAUUACUUGACGGGACUUUUUACAGGCACGUAGAAACAGCUUGUAAUUUCCCACAAACCAAUCUGCCGAUUUGGUAAGAAAAUCCUUGUUUAAAGGGAAGAAAAUAGUGGCAUUAACAGUCCCUGCGAAAUUUUUCCACAUUAAAUGGUAUCGUUGACAAUCAAUCAAGAUUUAACAAGCGUGCUCGCUAAAAUUUGACGGGGCUCGAUUACGUGUAUUAGAGAUGGUGCUUUUUACAUAAAACACGAUAAAUAAACGUUCAAAUGGUACUUUA
Molecule: long non-coding RNA, 2020 nt
Filed under: Patiria miniata (bat star)
Lineage: Eukaryota; Metazoa; Echinodermata; Asteroidea; Valvatida; Asterinidae
Description: uncharacterized LOC119738280
Source: RNAcentral